UAGGGAAUCUUCCACAAUGGACGCAAGUCUGAUGGAGCAACGCCGCGUGAGUGAAGAAGGUUUUCGGAUCGUAAAGCUCUGUUGUUGGUGAAGAAGGAUAGAGGCAGUAACUGGUCUUUAUUUGACGGUAAUCAACCAGAAAGUCACGGCUAACUACGUGCCAGCAGCCGCGGUAAUACGUAGGUGGCAAGCGUUGUCCGGAUUUAUUGGGCGUAAAGCGAGCGCAGGCGGAAUGAUAAGUCUGAUGUGAAAGCCCACGGCUCAACCGUGGAACUGCAUCGGAAACUGUCAUUCUUGAGUGCAGAAGAGGAGAGUGGAAUUCCAUGUGUAGCGGUGGAAUGCGUAGAUUUAUGGAAGAACACCAGUGGCGAAGGCGGCUCUCUGGUCUGCAACUGACGCUGAGGCUCGAAAGCAUGGGUAGCGAACAGG
This 429-nucleotide ribosomal RNA is filed under the name bacterium. RNAcentral's name for it is "partial 16S ribosomal RNA". It matches the Rfam family "Bacterial small subunit ribosomal RNA", at positions 355 to 776 of the family's 1533-position model. The record is from RNAcentral.